This 465-nucleotide ribosomal RNA is filed under the name Vreelandella stevensii. RNAcentral describes it as "partial 16S ribosomal RNA". It matches the Rfam family "Bacterial small subunit ribosomal RNA", at positions 338 to 795 of the family's 1533-position model. Lineage: Bacteria; Pseudomonadati; Pseudomonadota; Gammaproteobacteria; Oceanospirillales; Halomonadaceae. The record is from RNAcentral.
CCUACGGGUGGCAGCAGUGUGGAAUAUUGGACAAUGGGCGAAAGCCUGAUCCAGCCAUGCCGCGUGUGUGAAGAAGGCCUUCGGGUUGUAAAGCACUUUCAGUGGGGAAGAAAGCCUUGGGGCUAAUACCCUCGAGGAAGGACAUCACCCACAGAAGAAGCACCGGCUAACUCCGUGCCAGCAGCCGCGGUAAUACGGAGGGUGCGAGCGUUAAUCGGAAUUACUGGGCGUAAAGCGCGCGUAGGCGGUCUGAUAAGCCGGUUGUGAAAGCCCCGGGCUCAACCUGGGAACGGCAUCCGGAACUGUCAGGCUAGAGUGCAGGAGAGGAAGGUAGAAUUCCCGGUGUAGCGGUGAAAUGCGUAGAGAUCGGGAGGAAUACCAGUGGCGAAGGCGGCCUUCUGGACUGUCACUGACGCUGAGGUGCGAAAGCGUGGGUAGCAAACAGGAUUAGAUACCCUAGUCGUC